AAUUAAACCCCCAAAAAUUAAAAUCCCAAAUCCUAACCCCUUUCUCACUCCUGAUUUCUCCCCUUUCGCACUCCCGAUGUCUCCCAUUUUUACGAUUUGACCGGUGAAACACCGUUCAGCAGUGGCUAUUUCUUCUCGUCGACCUACUCCGUUAUUUCUUGUCGACUUCUCCAGCAAUUUCGUCCGGUGGAUUCAUCUUCCGGUGGAAUUUAUCAUCACUUCGGCCACUCGGUAAGUGUUUUAAUUUUCUGUUUUAACUGAAAAUAUGAUUAGAGAUUACAUAUUCUCUGUUGGAACGAAACAUGUUAUUAGAGAUUACAUAUUUUAAUUAUAGAUAGAAUUCAUAUUUUACAAUUUUUUCUUUUCUUUUAGGGGUUUAGAAAUAAGAAUCCAGAUUGAUACAUUGGUUUAAUACAGUUUCAUACAGAUACAUUUAAUUCUGAUAGAAUUCAGAUUCAUACAGUUUAACAAAUAUAGGUUUAAUACAGAUUGAUUGAUGAAUUUAGAAAUACAGGUUGAAUGAUGAAUUUAGUUGGGUUUUACCCAAACAACCAUACUAAAUAUGAUCUGCUUCUCUGGAGUUUUAGAAUUCUCUUCUUACUGUAAUUGACUGUUUUUUCUUUUUUUUAAUGGUUUGUUGUAUUUUGCUGUUAUUUAUCUUCUUGUAAAAAGUUAUAUCAGGGAGGGAUAAAUGAAUUUUAGAAUAAUUUGGAGAUGAACCAAGAGGAUAAAAACUCUUGAAAAAAUCUCGAAGCCCAGGUUGAUAUAUUUCCUUCAAAGCUUUAGCCCACUCUACAUGAUCUGGAUCCUAAUUUCUGUACUCUACAAGCACCUGAAUUGUAGUAAAUAAAAGCUUAAUCCGAACUCUCCAAAUUUAAAAUGACAACAGUGAUAUAAGUCGUGGGCAUUAAAGUCGUAUAAAUUAAGAUUAAUCCUCAAAUUUAUACUCAGUAACUUAGAAAUCACAAUACACAUGGCCUCAACAGGAAAUGUGAAAAUACAUUCAUACCAGAACUACUGAUGAAAUUUAAAAUUUGACUAAUGCAGAAUGUAUAUUAAAAAAUGCUAUCAUGUGCAGAGACUAGAAACAUGUUUUUAGGUUGAUUCAUUAUUCAUGCAUAAUGCACGUCAUACCAAUAGGGCUAGCUAGUGAUUGGUAUUAUGCAAAAAGUGGGUUGCAUACUUACACUGUUCUAGUCACUACUCUCUUUUUUGUCAAACUGUAAAAUUAAGUUCGUGGAAAAUAUUUAGAUUUUAAAUUUUUGACAAAACAAACUAUUUGCACAUUCAAUAAUAUUAACUGAAAAUCAAUCAAGUGGAACUUAGACAUUAAAUUUUACUUUUAAUGCAUAUAAGAAUUUUAAUUAAGACCAAACUACUCAUGUUUUUUCCUUUCUAGAUCUUUAAUCAGUUGUUUAUAACAGUUGUGAAUUCUGAAAUAAGGAUUUAGCAAAAUUGAUAUUCUCCUAACUCUCCCCAAUUUUACUCAUAUGUUUAUGAGUUAUACACUAUUUUGCAUGUCAUAUCAUAUAAUCUCAUUUCAAUUUUUCUUCAGAAUAUUUCUACAUCUUGUUAACAUCUUCAAUCGACUUAUGACUUUUUUAAUAUCAUAUGCUUAAGAUUGUGUUAGAAUACACAAUCCUAGAAGGUUGCUUGUGUCGUAUAUUUAUUUGCAGGUUUAAUUUUAUUUGCUUUUGUUUCAUUAUUGAAGUGUGUGUUUUGAUUUCAAUUAUCAUUAAAAGCAAAAUGGUCAUGGAAAAAUUUUAAAAAAUUGAAACAAUUAAUUCGAUUAUUGACUAAUUAAUUCAAACUGUAAUUUGAUAUAGUUUAUUCAAACUUACAGGUAUUGGUGUUAAAGAAGAGUUUCUUCCAAACUCCACGAAAAAUUCGAAGUAAUUUCUAAUUUCUGAUUUCUUAUUUCAAUUAUCAUUUUAGUUUAUUAAUCUAAUUUUUUUAAAUGCAUUACUUAAUUAUUGUUUACUUAAUAUUUUGAAUAAAUAAUUAAUUUAAAUAAAUUGUUUGAUAUAGCAUAUGGGAAGGAGAAAAAAACAGAUACCGCGUAGACCUCCAUUUCCGGUACGUGUUCCGGAAGUACGCCCACAAGUUCCUGCUGUACCUACAACAGUACUUGUACCUGUUGUACCUUCAUUUCAGCCAGAUCCAGUGUAUGUUCCGCAGGCAGUAAGUCAAUCGAGCUCUCAUCAUCCGCCAAUCGUAAUGAGAGUAAAGCAACCAUCUAGGAGGCCCCCGACGAUGGAUCAUCCACCAAGGUUUGUUCGUCCAUCUAGGACUUCAAAUAAUUUGUUUAAUUUGUAUGUUGGAUUGAAUGUUUUGUGAAUGUAAAUUUGAAUGAAUUGUGAAUGAUCGAAUGAAUUCGAAUAUUUUGAAUGAAUUUCUAUUUUUCUUUAGAUUGAAUGUAUUAUAAAUCGAAUGCUUAUGAAUGAAUGUCUAUUUUCAGGUAAAAGAAUGGAUGUGUAAGGCUCCUAGAGAGCACCCAUUAGUUUCGUCAAAAAAAAUUUGUCGGUCUCAUUAUUUAGCGACGACCUAAGGACGGCCAAUUGAAACAGGAAGUUCAAAAAAAAAACUAGAGACGGCAAGUUAAAACAUGAAGUUAAAAAAAUAUAUUUAGAGACGGCCUAGGGAGGGUUAUUCUAAAAAUUAGAGACGGCUUAUGGACAGUAAUGAAAAUUUAAGCGCCAAAAAAUUGGCGCGGAAAAAAAAAUAGCGACGGAUUAGAGACGGCUUGGCCCUAAUCUCAUCUAAUCCUAAAUUUUAAUUAGCGACGGCCAAUGCCGUCUCUAAUCCUUCCCUAAUAAUUAGAGACGGAUAUGAAGGCCGUCUCUAAAAAAUCAACGAGGCGACUUUCAGGGUAGAAUUAGAGACGGCCAAAAACUGUCGCUAAUCAUCAAUUAGCGAUGGUUUUUGAUGAUUAGCGACGGUUUCUGAUCGUCGCUAAAAGUCAGUAAUUUGGUAGUGGAAGCAUGCGGAAGAGAUCUCUUUUACAAACGCAAAUCUUGUGGAUAUAACAACACCACACCAUGACCUGUUGGUCAUCACGCUGAUGC
RNAcentral lists this long non-coding RNA (3065 nucleotides) under Zostera marina. RNAcentral's name for it is "long non-coding RNA (ZMAR_LNC000727)". Lineage: Eukaryota; Viridiplantae; Streptophyta; Magnoliopsida; Alismatales; Zosteraceae. The record is from RNAcentral.